UAGUUUAUCCUGCCAACAGCUGUCCAGCCAAACAACAAUGUUGCUGCAUCUGUAGAGGUGGCGGCGGCUGCAUCAAACAUGAGUACUGAAGAAGAGAAGCCUCAAAGCCACCCAGAGCAAUCUGAAGUCGGUG
Long non-coding RNA from Panicum virgatum (switchgrass), 133 nucleotides. RefSeq lists it as uncharacterized. Lineage: Eukaryota; Viridiplantae; Streptophyta; Magnoliopsida; Poales; Poaceae. The record is from RefSeq and is a predicted model, not a curated record. The transcript is spliced from 2 exons.